UACAGAGGGUGCAAGCGUUGUUCGGAAUUACUGGGCGUAAAGCGCGUGUAGGCGGCGGCGUAAGUCGAAUGUGAAAGCCCUUGGCUUAACCAAGGAAGUGCAUUCGAUACUGCGUCGCUUGAGUGCCGGAGGGGAUGGCGGAAUUCCUGGUGUAGAGGUGAAAUUCGUAGAUAUCAGGAGGAACACCGGUGGCGAAGGCGGGUCUCUGGGCAGUAACUGACGCUGAGAAGCGAAAGCGUGGGUAGCGAACAGG
Molecule: ribosomal RNA, 253 nt
Filed under: uncultured bacterium
Lineage: Bacteria
Description: partial 16S ribosomal RNA
Rfam family: Bacterial small subunit ribosomal RNA
Source: RNAcentral